RNAcentral lists this transfer RNA (78 nucleotides) under Microcebus rufus (brown mouse lemur). RNAcentral's name for it is "tRNA-Tyr". The stretch from base 14 to 78 matches the Rfam family "tRNA". From Rfam's summary of the family: Transfer RNA (tRNA) molecules are approximately 80 nucleotides in length. Their secondary structure includes four short double-helical elements and three loops (D, anti-codon, and T loops). The record is from RNAcentral. Lineage: Eukaryota; Metazoa; Chordata; Mammalia; Primates; Cheirogaleidae.
AACAUAAGUAUAAGGUAAAAUGGCUGAGCAAGCAUUAGACUGUAAAUCUAAAGACAGAGGUAGAACCCUCUUUUUACC